This 120-nucleotide long non-coding RNA is filed under the name Chinchilla lanigera (long-tailed chinchilla). RNAcentral describes it as "lncRNA (ENSCLAG00000026578.1)". Lineage: Eukaryota; Metazoa; Chordata; Mammalia; Rodentia; Chinchillidae. The record is from RNAcentral.
AAGAAACCGAAGUAUACUGGCCAGGGGAGUUGUUUUCUGUUACAAUCUGACAUUUGAAGUCUAUGUAGCUGGAAGUGCGGAAGCUAGAAGACAGAAGCUUUGCAUGUCUGCUCCAGCGUG